UACCAGCACCCCGAGUGGUCGGGACGAUUAUUGGGCCUAAAGCAUCCGUAGCCGGUUUUACAAGUCCUCCGUUAAAUCCACCUGCUCAACAGAUGGGCUGCGGAAGAUACUAUGGAGCUAGGAGGCGGGAGAGGCAAGCGGUACUCGAUGGGUAGGGGUAAAAUCCGUUGAUCCAUUGAAGACCACCAGUGGCGAAGGCGGCUUGCCAGAACGCGCUCGACGGUGAGGGAUGAAAGCUGGGGGAGCAAACCGG
This 253-nucleotide ribosomal RNA is filed under the name uncultured bacterium. RNAcentral describes it as "partial 16S ribosomal RNA". It matches the Rfam family "Archaeal small subunit ribosomal RNA", at positions 474 to 727 of the family's 1478-position model. The record is from RNAcentral.